UAGAUGAAUAAUAUGCUGACAUUUGAACUA
Molecule: non-coding RNA, 30 nt
Filed under: Rattus norvegicus (Norway rat)
Lineage: Eukaryota; Metazoa; Chordata; Mammalia; Rodentia; Muridae
Source: RNAcentral